RNAcentral lists this ribosomal RNA (493 nucleotides) under uncultured bacterium. RNAcentral's name for it is "bacterial SSU rRNA". It matches the Rfam family "Bacterial small subunit ribosomal RNA", at positions 511 to 1050 of the family's 1533-position model. The record is from RNAcentral.
GCAGCGGCGGUAAGACGAGGGGGGCAAGUCUUAUUCAGUACGAAUCGGCGUACAGCGCUUGUAGGCGGCUUCUGUCGCUGGUUGUGAAAGUCUGAAGUCAUCCUUGAGAAUUGCAACCAGAACGCAGAUGCUUGAGUACUAUCGACGAAAGUGGAAUUCUUAAGGGAGGAAUGAAAUCUGUUGAACUUAGGAGGAAGACCGAAUGCGUAGGCAGCUUUCGAGAGAGUGACUGACGCUGAGAAGCGAAAGCGUGGGGAGCAAACGGGAUUAGAGACCCCAGUAGUCCACGCUGUCAACGAUGAGUGUUUGCUUUGUGGGUACAACUGCAAAGCGUAGCUAACGCGUCAAACACUCCGCCUGGGGACUACGACCGCAAGGUUAAAACUCAAAGGAUUUGACGGGGGCUCAUACACGCAGUGGAGCAUGGCGUUUAAUUCGACACUACGCGCAAAACCUUACCAUUCCUUGCAUAUUUUACAGGUGCUGCAUGGCU